RNAcentral lists this ribosomal RNA (636 nucleotides) under Arthrobacter sp. ISP2-41-11. RNAcentral's name for it is "bacterial SSU rRNA". It matches the Rfam family "Bacterial small subunit ribosomal RNA", at positions 57 to 706 of the family's 1533-position model. The record is from RNAcentral. Lineage: Bacteria; Bacillati; Actinomycetota; Actinomycetes; Micrococcales; Micrococcaceae.
GCAAGUCGAACGAUGAUGGGAGCUUGCUCCUGGAUUAGUGGCGAACGGGUGAGUAACACGUGAGUAACCUGCCCUUAACUCUGGGAUAAGCCUGGGAAACUGGGUCUAAUACCGGAUAUGACUCCUCAUCGCAUGGUGGGGGGUGGAAAGCUUUAUUGUGGUUUUGGAUGGACUCGCGGCCUAUCAGCUUGUUGGUGAGGUAAUGGCUUACCAAGGCGACAACGGGUAGCCGGCCUGAGAGGGUGACCGGCCACACUGGGACUGAAACACGGCCCAAACUCCUACGGGAGGCAGCAGUGGGGAAUAUUGCACAAUGGGCGCAAGCCUGAUGCAGCGACCCCGCGUGAGGGAUGACGGCCUUCGGGUUGUAAACCUCUUUCAGUAGGGAAGAAGCGAAAGUGACGGUACCUGCAAAAAAAGCGCCGGCUAACUACGUGCCAGCAGCCGCGGUAAUACGUAGGGCGCAAGCGUUAUCCGGAAUUAUUGGGCGUAAAGAGCUCGUAGGCGGUUUGUCGCGUCUGCCGUGAAAGUCCGGGGCUCAACUCCGGAUCUGCGGUGGGUACGGGCAGACUAGAGUGAUGUAGGGGAGACUGGAAUUCCUGGUGUAGCGGUGAAAUGCGCAGAUAUCAGGAGGAA